ACUCAAUAGAUACCCUGGUAGUCCACGCCCUAAACGAUGUCUACUAGUUGUCGGGUCUUAAUUGACUUGGUAAACGCAGCUAAACGCGUGAAGUAGACCGCCUGGGGAGUACGGUCGCAAGAUUAAAACUCAAAGGAAUUGACGGGGACCCGCACAAGCGGUGGAUGAUGUGGAUUAAAUUCGAUGCAACGCGAAAAACCUUACCUACCCUUGACAUGGAAGGAAUCCCUGAGAGAUUGGGGAGUGCCCGAAAGGGAACCUUUACACAGGUGCUGCAUGGCUGUCGUCAGCUCGUGUCGUGAGAUGUUGGGUUAAGUCCCGCAACGAGCGCAACCCUUGUCAUUAGUUGCUACGAAAGGGCACUCUAAUGAGACUGCCGGUGACAAACCGGAGGAAGGUGGGGAUGACGUCAAGUCCUCAUGGCCCUUAUGGGUAGGGCUUCACACGUCAUACAAUGGUACAUACAGAGGGCCGCCAACCCGCGAGGGGAGCUAAUCCCAGAAAGUGUAUCGUAGUCCGGAUUGUAGUCUGCAACUCGACUGC
RNAcentral lists this ribosomal RNA (543 nucleotides) under uncultured bacterium. RNAcentral's name for it is "bacterial SSU rRNA". It matches the Rfam family "Bacterial small subunit ribosomal RNA", at positions 770 to 1319 of the family's 1533-position model. The record is from RNAcentral.